ACGGGAGGCAGCAGUGGGGAAUAUUGCACAAUGGGGGAAACCCUGAUGUAGCGACGCCGCGUGAGUGAAGAAGUAUUUCGGUAUGUAAAGCUCUAUCAGCAGGAAAGAAAAUGACGGUACCUGACUAAGAAGCCCCGGCUAACUACGUGCCAGCAGCCGCGGUAAUACGUAGGGGGCAAGCGUUAUCCGGAUUUACUGGGUGUAAAGGGAGCGUAGACGGUAAGGCAAGUCUGAAGUGAAAUGCCAGGGCUCAACCCUGGAACUGCUUUGGAAACUGUCCUACUAGAGUGCAGGAGAGGUAAGUGGAAUUCCUAGUGUAGCGGUGAAAUGCGUAGAUAUUAGGAGGAACACCAGUGGCGAAGGCGGCUUACUGGACUGUAACUGACGUUGAGGCUCGAAAGCGUGGGGAGCAAACAGGAUUAGAUACCCUGGUA
RNAcentral lists this ribosomal RNA (434 nucleotides) under uncultured Lachnospiraceae bacterium. RNAcentral's name for it is "partial 16S ribosomal RNA". It matches the Rfam family "Bacterial small subunit ribosomal RNA", at positions 341 to 792 of the family's 1533-position model. The record is from RNAcentral. Lineage: Bacteria; Bacillati; Bacillota; Clostridia; Lachnospirales; Lachnospiraceae.